CUUAGCAUGAAGUCAGACAAGA
RNAcentral lists this ribosomal RNA (22 nucleotides) under Symbiodinium sp. B7. RNAcentral describes it as "partial 24S large subunit ribosomal RNA". RNAcentral also lists the same sequence under 1 other name. Lineage: Eukaryota; Dinophyceae; Suessiales; Symbiodiniaceae. The record is from RNAcentral.